CUCUUAUGUUCCUGUAUCAUCUGCCAUGAGAAAGGCAUGUCUCAGAAGGGGGCUUCCCUUUAGGCUUGAGUCCUAGGAAAGGGGAUACAUGGAGAAGACCUGAACUUGACCCACAGCCUGAAGCAGAGAUUCAUCAGCCAGCCUAAUCUGCAAACAUGCAACAAGGGUGAGCAAACGGGUUGAGAAAGGCUAAGUCACUCCACUUAGGUCACAUGGCGAUCAUGGAGCACAAGACAUCACCUGAAAUAACCAGGGAUGAUAGAAUUUGGGAUCACAACUUCAUUCCAAACGUUUGAUACAGGCAAUAAUGGCCCAACAGGCCCACAAUCUUUCCAGGAAUGAUCAGACAACUCCUCAGCUCUUUGCUUCCCCUGCCCCCAUGGUGCAUCCCUGCAUUUCACCUGUCCUGCCUUCCCAGCAGUCAGGAGAUGGCUCCCUGAGGAUGAAUAAGAAAGGGAAUUUCAUCCUCCAUGCAUCGUGCUCAGUGCCAGGAUGGGCAUCCUGAUGAGCCAGGAUCUGGGAGCAAGUGCAAAGGGGAUGAAAUCAUACAAAACUCAGUACUAAAAAAAAAAAAAAAAAAAAAGGAAAAUCAAAUAAAAGCAAAAUAUUUUCUGCCUAUUUUUUCCUUGCAAACUUCUCAAUUCUAUACAAAUAUUUGAUGAUUGUAUUUUCAAAUAAAGAAAUGAAAAUGGAAAUAAUGGAAAUAUGGAAAUAUCCAAAGUGAAAUAUGAAAGCCACUCUUCACAGCUGUCUGUCCAUUGAUUCCCCAUUGAUUCCCCU
Molecule: long non-coding RNA, 780 nt
Filed under: Homo sapiens (human)
Lineage: Eukaryota; Metazoa; Chordata; Mammalia; Primates; Hominidae
Description: non-protein coding lnc-NTM-1:8
Source: RNAcentral